RNAcentral lists this ribosomal RNA (401 nucleotides) under uncultured bacterium. RNAcentral's name for it is "bacterial SSU rRNA". It matches the Rfam family "Bacterial small subunit ribosomal RNA", at positions 135 to 518 of the family's 1533-position model. The record is from RNAcentral.
GGCCCGGGAUAGCCCAGGGGAAACCUGGAUUAAUACCGGAUGAGACGGGACCCGCGAUGGCGGGACCCGGGAAAGGCGCUGCGGGCGCCGCCGGGGGAUGAGUCUGCGUCCCAUUAGCUAGACGGCGGGGUAACGGCCCACCGUGGCGACGAUGGGUAGCCGGCCUGACGAGGGUGGACGGCCACAUUGGAACUGAGACACGGUCCAGACUCCUACGGGAGGCAGCAGCUAAGAAUCUUCCGCAAUGGGCGAAAGCCUGACGGAGCGAACCGCCGCGUGAACGAAGAAGGCCGUGAGGUUGUAAAGUUCUUUUCGGGAGGGGGAACAACCGUGGCAGGGAAUGGCCGCGGGAUGACGUGAAUCCCGGAAUAAGCCCCGGCUAACUACGUGCCAGCCGCCGC